RNAcentral lists this ribosomal RNA (314 nucleotides) under uncultured eukaryote. RNAcentral's name for it is "partial 18S ribosomal RNA". It matches the Rfam family "Eukaryotic small subunit ribosomal RNA", at positions 1470 to 1796 of the family's 1831-position model. The record is from RNAcentral.
CCCUUAGAUAUUCUGGGCUGCACGCGCGCUACACUGACACUAUCAACGAGUGCUCCUGGUUUGAAAGGAUCGGGUAAUCUUUUGAAAUGGUGUCGUGAUGGGGAUAGAUCAUUGCAAUUAUUGAUCUUGAACGAGGAAUUCCUAGUAAAUGUGAGUCAUCAGCUCACGUUGAUUACGUCCCUGCCCUUUGUACACACCGCCCGUCGCUCCUACCGAUUGAGUGAACCGAUGAGUAGUCCGGAUUGCGAUCGACCUCGGUUAAUCGCGAGAAGUUCCGCAAAUCACUUCACUUAGAGGAAGGAGAAGUCGUAACA